Molecule: RNA transcript, 8201 nt
Organism: Caretta caretta (loggerhead turtle)
Lineage: Eukaryota; Metazoa; Chordata; Testudines; Cheloniidae
Gene: FOXO4
Gene name: forkhead box O4
Source: RefSeq, a predicted model, not a curated record
GCGGCAAGGGGCCGAAGCGCGGGCGGGGGGCGCGGGCGGGGAAUGGCGGAGGCCGCGGGCGAGCCGCCCGGCGCGCGGGCCCCGGCGCGGCGCUGAGCCCGCGGGCCCAUGGCGGCCUCUGAGCCGGGCCCCGAGGCGGGCGGCGGCCCGGGGGGCAGCGUGGAGAUCGACCCGGACUUCGCGCCGCAGAGCCGGCCCCGCUCCUGCACCUGGCCCCUGCCCCGGCCCGAGCUCUCGGCGGCGCAGCAGGAGGCGGCGGGCGGCCCGGCGGCGGCGGCGGCGGCGGAGGAGGGGCCCGGCGGGGCGGCGGCGGCGGCGGGGCCCGGGCGGGCCGAGGGGCCGCGGGGGCCCGGCGGGGCGGCGGCGGCGGCGGCGCGGAAGGGCGGCUCCCGGCGGAACGCCUGGGGGAACCAGUCCUACGCCGAGCUGAUCAGCCAGGCCAUCGAGAGCGCCCCGGAGAAGCGGCUGACGCUGGCGCAGAUCUACGAGUGGAUGGUUCGCUUCGUGCCCUACUUCAAGGACAAGGGCGACAGCAACAGCUCGGCCGGCUGGAAGAACUCUAUUAGACACAACUUAUCCCUGCACAGCAAGUUCAUUAAAGUGCAUAAUGAAGCUACAGGGAAGAGUUCUUGGUGGAUGCUCAAUCCUGAAGGUGGUAAAAGUGGGAAAGCACCAAGGAGGAGAGCUGCCUCCAUGGACAACAGCAGCAAACUGGCAAAAGUCAGAGGUAAAGCAUCCAAAAAGAAGGCCUCACUCCAAGCAGCUCCGGAAGCUACUGCCGACAGCCCUGGCUCCCAGUUCCCCAAAUGGCCUGGGAGCCCAUCAUCAAGGAAUAAUGAGGACUCCGAUGUGUGGACCAGUUUCCGGCCUCGAACCAGUUCCAAUGCGAGUACCACUAGUGCCAGGCUGUCUCCUAUCAUGCCUGAGCAGGACGACCUCCCAGAUGAAAAGCUUCUCCCUUCUCUAGUGUACUCCAGUGCAUCCAGCAACGUCCCACCGACCGUGGCUGAGGAGCUUGAACUCAUUGAUGGGUUAAACCUGAUGUCACCCAGUUCAUCUAUGCUGUCCACCCAGCAGUCUGCCUCAAGUGGCUCAGUCCAGAGAGAUUCCAGCUUCUCUUUGAGGACCCAGAAUUCAGCUGGUCAGACCUCUACUUUUGGCACCUCUCUGUUUAACCCUGUUGAUAUCUCACUGCAGAGUUCUGUUAACCGUUUCUCUGGCCCUCAGACUCUUGAAGCUCUCCUGACAUCAAGCUCUCCACCUCCCAGCGAUGUGAUGAUGACUCAGGUGGAUCCAAUACUCCCUCAAACUGGAAGCAGGCUAAACAGCCAGACUUUUCUGCUUCUAGGUGGACAAGUCACCCAGAAUAAAACAAGCCCAGUCAACCCACGAGAAAAACCUUUGGAGCAGCAAUCAGAGUCAAUAAGUGUCAGUGCUUUGCCAUCUAUGCUUUCUGCAGUGGCAUCUCCUCAAAACACAGCCAGCAUGCCCACUCUGAAGGCCCCAGUCCCAGCACCAACGGCCCAAGCAGUCCAUCAGGGCACCCAGUCACUUCUCUCUUCUGUUAGCUCUGCCCCCUUUGGAGUGAACCAGGACAGGCUGCCCACUGACCUGGACGUUGACAUGUACAUGGAGAACCUUGAAUGUGAUGUGGAUUACAUAAUCAACAGUGACCUCAUGGAUGGAGAAGGACUGGAUUUCAACUUUGAACCCAUUCUGUCUACUCCCAGCUACCCCAACACCUCCCAGGCCUCCAACCAUACUUGGGUACCAAGUUAACUUCAGGAAUACAAAAAGCUGGCCAUACUUUGGAUGCAUGCGGCGGGGGACUGAUGUGUGUCCAGAGCAUUGCUGCUUAGCUUUCCCAUCUGGACCAUGGAACAAGAGAUGCAGGAUAAUUUUGGAUGAAUUGAAACAAAUCUGUGUCCUUCAGGUUUCUGAAUGUUGGGUCCUGACUUCGCUUCCCACCCCUGGCAGAGUCUGAAAAAACAGAGCGCACUGGACACAGCUUCUCUGCACGCCAUGCCUGGGGCAGACAGAACUGCCCACCUGGGAGGAAGGGGGCAAAUCUGCGCCUGGUUGCAAUAGGAAGAGUUUUGAAAAAAAUCCUGUUGUGUGCUGCUUCUCUUCCUAAAAAUCCUGACCUGCCAUGGAUCUUCUGCAGAAGCCCCGGGGCUGUGCACAUUCGAAGAGGAGCUCUGGUGAAAAUCCCCAAGCUUGGCCAAAGGCUGUUAUGCCAGACAACAGCGUUAUCCCACACAAAGGGUGGAUGUGUUGGAGGCUGCCUUAUCUCUGCCAUAGCAGCAGUUCGCCCAAUGUCUCAGGCUGUCAGAAGGGGCCUAUUCUGUCCCCACCUUGCCCUCUGGGAUGGAGUAGCUGGGCCUCUUCCUUCAGCCUCCAGCCUUGUGCUUGUACUCCACAGACUUUUAGAAGAAUUGGAAGGAGCCUCUUGGCAGAAGCCUAUUAGGAAUAGGGUAGGGUGCCAGAUGGAUCGGUUUCAAAGUACCCCACCAUUCUGCACCCAUCUGAAGGGUUGGGCGGGUGGCAGCCAGGGAGGCUUCCCUUUGCUCACCUAGGCAGAAGAGGAGGACAUACAGUUUAAUUUCACUGUGCCAACUGGGCCCGUUGAAUGCGUAGCAUGUUCUAGAGAAGUCCUGUGCUGUUCUAAGCACUUUCCUGUUACAGCAGGCUGCUGGAAAGUAGACACAGGUGCUGAUUGUUGUUGCUGGGACUCCAAAACAUCUUUGGGAGUUUGUUUCUGGGCUGUCUUGAUACAGCAGAGAAAGGGGAAGCCUGGGUGUGGCCUUAACAGAGCCCUGGUUGCUUUUCAGAAGGGCAUUUUCUAUAGAUGAAAUAUUUUUUUACUAAUCUAAGGGCUUUCUAUAUUGAAAGCCAAUGUAACCACAUGUCUCCCUUGGCUUACUGGGUAUCUCUCCCCCUAAGAAGGUGGUACCAAUGGCAGAUUUGCCUUUCAAAGCCGUGCUGAGAAUAAAUACACUUGACAUUCAAUUAUGUGUCUGAUUGGGGGAAGAACUGGCAGGCCCCCCAGUUCGGAACUGUGUGAGGAGGGAGUUGUACAUUUCUUGUAAUCUAUAUGUAAAACUAGCUACAAAUUAGAAGCUUUUUCUAAACCUUUUAAAAUAUAUAUAUUUUAUAUAUAUAUUUAAAUUGAGAAACAAGAUUAUUCACUUUUUUUUCUGCAGCUUUAUCCUGUUGAUACCACAUGAACACUACAGUGAGGCUGGGAACAAGCUUGGGGUUAUGGAGUGUGAAUACAGUUUGGGAAGGGGUGGGGGAGACACUUCAGAGUGUUUGGGGAAUAGCCACACUCUUCAAAUCAAAUGGGAGAGGUGUUUACAGAAAUCAGACUGCUGCAGAUCAGUCUCUGGCCAUGUGAUUGAACACUCCCACUAAGUAUCCCCUAACCUUGUGCUCUUGGCUAAUCAUUAACAGGGGAUAAGCUGGGUAUGGUAAGCCCUAGAGUAGCUGGGCUGCGGCUGAUGCUUCAGAGGCUUAGGUUCCCUAACCUCUUAAUGAGGGAGGCUGAUUUGAGCCAGGCCUGCUGACACUCUCUGCAACCUUCGUCCCCAACUAUUUUGAGGCCAGGAGUUCAGUCUGCUUUAGUAGCUGACAACCUGGUUGUCCUGGUUUCUAUAGCUUUUCCUUUUGUUACUGAAGUUUUUCUGCUACUACUUGCUAAUUCUAGUCCUGUAGGCAAUGCUGGAGGAGUCUGAUUGGGGUUCUGACCUGUGGACAGUUUUUGUCCUGGCCAGGACCUGAAGGGGCUAUGAGCGUCAGCUGGCAGUUGUCUUUCAGCUUUUGGGUGUUUGCGGUGGUAGGAUUUGGGGGAGGGGAUAAUUCUUUGCAGUGUUCUAUCCGAUUUGUUAAUGCAGAAAGUCUCCAGCAUUCUUUCUGCAGAUGGUAGAUGAGACUUCUUGCGGAAGGUUUAUGUGGUGAGGUGCUGAAAGUUUGCAUUGCUUUGCUGCCUUCUCUGCAUGUUGUUUCAGGGUUUCACUAGAACUACGGGAGACCUGAACAAGAAUGGUAUGUCUGGCCACCCAAAAUGAGGCCUCUGGAGCAGUCUUUCCUUGAGCCUCAUCUGCCACUAGAUCCUUUUUGGGAACACUCAUUGGAAACUACGUUAAGGCUUUCUCUUUACUGAAGACUUGAGUUCAGGUGUGCGUUUUCACAGUAACAUGCCCUGGGUUCACACCCACAUACAUCUUGCUGUACUGUCUGGUAAUGCAACCAUCACACUCCGAACAAUAGGCAGACCUGGAGUUAGCUUAUCCCAUGCAUUGCUAAACUGGAAUAAUGGCAGUGAAAACAUUUAGCCAUGGUCAAUCAGCGCAACUGAUAGAUGAUAGUCCUCCAAUCCCUUCCCACAAGCCCCGGGCAUCCUGUCCUGUGCACUAAUUGUGCACAUUGCCUUCAUAAAGAACAGUGGCUGAUGGUCUGAUUAUUAGGGCAAGCUGGAUCCUUUCCUUGGGCACCUGACCCACCAUACCAGCAUGGUUAAUGCCACCAGUGAAUUUCCCGGGCCUAGACCACUUACUCCUGCAAUCGCCAGCGUGGGUAGACACCCUGUGAAUGUGAGAAUAGAACAAUGCAGUGAGUUGUGGCACUAUGAAUCUCAGGAUAGUGCCCACGUUAGCUGUAUUGCUUCUCACAGCCACGUAGAGCACCAGUGGGGGUGUGACACAGCAUGCUGACAUUGACAAUGUGUUUGUGCGUUAGUUGGUUAGGCUAGCAUGUGUUCAGUGACCCAUGAUGGCUUACGCUGUGGUUAGUCAGCAGCGAAGACAAAGCCUAAAGGCGCAGGACUGUACUGUUAGUUACCAGUACCUCAGACCUACAAACCCAGUGCAAGCCAGAGCCAUUAGUGAGCAUAUCUGUGCGUUGUAAGCAGUCUGCUUUAGAGCUUUCUUUCAAGUUGUCCAGUUCAAACAGCAGCAUGUUAGUGCACUAACCCACUUGGGUGCCUGUUACAGCCUGUGGGCCAUGGGGUCUGUGCACUGAUAUUGCACUCCUGGGAGCUAGGCAAUUAGGUGGCUUUUCUCACAAAUGUGUCUUGCCUUGACCCAUUGUAGCUCUAGGAGCGAGCUGCAGUCAGGCCUAGCGAGAGUCACUGGAAUUGCUGCUUCACUGGCUUUAAGAGAUGGAGUUUGUUGUAGCUGCUACCUCUCCCUGCUGGACCCUUGCUGUACCGUCUCUCACUGGGAUACUCUCACAGAGCACUUACUGCACUUAGGGUGGACUGAGACCUGUCCCUUAGGGAGUUAAAUGCCCACUGAGAAGCAGACUCCAAGCCUCGCUGCUGCUGCUGCCUCUUCCUGGUGUCUGGAACCCGAACUUCAGCCAGACACUCCAUUGCUCCACCCAGAGACGGCCACAGCAGGAAGUGACCAGUAAUGCUACAGCACGUCCCUAUACAGCUGCAUCGGGCAUAGGCACAAAUGGUUUAUCUCUCGGUAUCUUCCCUGGUAGCUAAGCAUUUUGGCAGCCUCAUCUGCAGGGGGCAGAACAGAUGGUGGUGCUUGUGUCCUGCCGCUGUCUCUGGCCUGUUCAGGGUUUGCUUUCCAUCUCCUCACUGCAGCAGCAAACGGCAGUGUUUGAGGUUCACACUCGGUUGCUCAUAGGUGUUAAGAAAGCCAGUAUGGGAGACUUCCAGUGGAGCCAAAAGCAGCAGGGCUCAGCCUACUGUGAAGGUGGCACUCCAUUUAAAGGCAAAUCAGCCCUUCUCCCGUACAAGGGCAGAGUGGUGGAUCUAGUGAAUGGGAAUGGAUGAGGGCAAGGGGAGGAAGAAUCUGGCAGUUGAGCCUCUUAUGCCCUUUUCCAAACUUCUGACUAGCUCUGUCCAUAAAUAUUGUACUCCUGUAGCCUUGAGCAUUGCCCCAAGUGCUUUUGGGUAACCUGUAGUGAAGCGUCCAGCCCUCAUUCUGAUGUAGGGCCUGGUGGAGAAUUCCAUGUAUAGAAUCACUUUACAUAGUGUGGGUGGGGGACAGCUGUGUUCUGAGGUGGCCCUGUCCUUCUGGGUGCGUGCCUGAGAGAGUUAGCUGGUAGGGGAUGCAGGGCUGUAAGCACAAGGCCUGAUAUAGUACGGUGCUGUGUGGUGUCUCUUCAUCCUUAUAGGCUAGUUGAGCUCAGGCCACACUUAAUUAUUCCAUUCCUGGAUUCAACCACAAUUGUUCAUAGUGUCGAGCUGCUCAGUGCCACGAAGGAUUCUGUGCACUAUCGGCCUGUGGAGCCAGCAAGAGGCAAACCCAUUGCCUUUGUGUACACCUGCGUUCAGCAGCCUCCUUGAGGCACUCUGUGGAUCUGUGAUACCUUCAAGUGGCCCUAGUCUUACUGUCGCUAACAACUCUGAAUAGCCAAAGCUUAUUGGAACCCUUCACUCUCCCCUUUGUCAGGUUGUCACUUCAUGCUACACUGUUUUUAAAUUAGCAAACAAACCAUCCUGACGAGAAACUAAAACAGAGGGAGGGUUCUGGAGACCGUGUAUCUUAUAAAUGAUGUGCAUACUAGAAGCAUGCAGCACUAAUCAGCUUUUCCAAAGGAAAUGCCUAGAAAGAUUUUAUUUAGGCCAUGAAUUCUUAUUUUUAAAUUUAGUUGCUUAUUUAUUGUCCUGCUCCAGGUGGUAUUGCCCUCAGAAGUCCCUGUGCAUUGCAGCGUGGACCUGGGGGGGCCUCAAAAGGCAGAGGCACUCAUACCAGUCUGAUGCAGUAGCUCUGAAAGGACUGUCUUGAGCCUUGUUGCUUUAUUUCUGAUAAAAAUAAAGUGAGAGUUUGGAUCCAUCAUUUAUAGUUGUGGGACAUGAGCAUGAGUGGGAUAGUUUGGGGUUCAGGUCUUUUCCCCCUACCCAAACUCCAUCUGAGGUAGGAAAAUGGAUUGGUGUUGUGAUUACAUUGAAAAGCUUGAUGAUGAUAAAUUAAAUCCUUGAUCCACUGUGUAAGGCUGUGUCUAUAUGGAUGGUACCAUGUUGAGUACAGACACUGCGCAUCCCGCUGGCCUGGGUCUAAAUAGCAGUGUGAAUGGUGAGAGAGAGAGUUUAGGCAUCUAGAGUACCCUGAAUGCCCAGGGUGUAUACCCUACAUGUUUCUACACACUGAAGCAGUGCCUCCCAUGUCUACAUUGCUGUUUUUAGCAGUGUAGUGUCCAGCUACCUCCCCACUGCAGGGAAAGGUUCUUGCGGGGAAAGGCUCCGGGAGCUCCCUAUUGCCAAAGCCUUUCAUGUGCCAUGUAGCUACAUGGGUAGUGCCUGUACUCUGCAUGCUGCUGUAAUCAUAGAUGUAGCCUAAAAGAUGGAUUUCGUGGAGAGGUCUGUCCUUGUGAUAAUCCGUCAGUGCAUGGAACCCACUGCCACCCCUCCUCUCCACCUGCAGUAACACGUUCUGUGGGAAAAGGGAUCCCUCUCAAAGCACCCAGGCUACUUCACUCCCUGUGCCAGGGUACAUCCUAAGGGGAAGAGGUUCUGCAUGGGACAGUCUGAUUUAGUCAUUGUGCUGACAGAAAUGGGUGGUGUCAGUGACUGACUGAUACACACCUUGGUGCUGAGGUGAAAGGAGGGAGCCCAGGUGUAUAAAAGGCCAAGAGGGUGAAGCAGCUGCUUGCAGAGCUGUGUUCAUGGUGGUCUUGCAAAGGCUAUUGACAGCAUGUUUCAUGGCAUGUAGCUUGGGGAUGUUUGCAAUCAGCUGAGUGCUGUAUGGUGAAGCACCAGCAGUGCCUAGAGGGGGAUUUAGAUGCUUGGAGGGUGCAUCAGUUUGGAAGGAGGCUUUUUCAUUAGACUGCAAAGAUAGGAAAUGGUCCCAUGAUCUACUCUUUCCAGGACAGUAUUGUCGUCAUUCUCCACUCCCUCUGGACGAUGGCCCCAGCCUCUUUGCUCUCAUAGUGGGAUGCCUGCACCAACAUGCUAAGAGUGUCAGCCUGUUGCUCACAAGCAGGGUUUCUCUGUUGCUGGCACAGGCCCCCCGUUCCCAUAGCGUAGGCAGCACCAGCUGGCAUAGGUUCCCACACCUGCCCCAGCUGCACUCUCGUUCAGUCAUUUCUCAUGAAGUUUUUUACUUUUUAAAUCUCUGCUUUUUGUUUGCUCUCCUGGUGAUUUCCGAACUAUUACAGGCUCUGUUUCCAUCUGUGCUAGUGAGACUGUGUAGAAUGUGCUAGACUAGGGGGAAAGUUUGACAAAUAAAGAUCUGUAAUCCUUU